Molecule: ribosomal RNA, 492 nt
Filed under: uncultured bacterium
Lineage: Bacteria
Description: partial 16S ribosomal RNA
Rfam family: Bacterial small subunit ribosomal RNA
Source: RNAcentral
AGUGAACGCUGGCGGUAGGCCUAACACAUGCAAGUCGAACGGCAGCACAGUGAGAGCUUGCUCUUACGGGUGGCGAGUGGCAGACGGGUGAGGAAUACAUCGGAAUCUACUUUUUCGUGGGGGAUAACGUAGGGAAACUUACGCUAAUACCGCAUACGACCUACGGGUGAAAGCAGGGGAUCUUCGGACCUUGCGCGAUUGAAUGAGCCGAUGUCGGAUUAGCUAGUUGGCGGGGUAAAGGCCCACCAAGGCGACGAUCCGUAGCUGGUCUGAGAGGAUGAUCAGCCACACUGGAACUGAGACACGGUCCAGACUCCUACGGGAGGCAGCAGUGGGGAAUAUUGGACAAUGGGCGCAAGCCUGAUCCAGCCAUACCGCGUGGGUGAAGAAGGCCUUCGGGUUGUAAAGCCCUUUUGUUGGGAAAGAAAAGCAGCAGGUUAAUACCCCGCUGUUCUGACGGUACCCAAAGAAUAAGCACCGGCUAACUUCGUG